CACUGUCGUAAACAGCAGUGAUAAUAUGCAUGCCUCUGUUUUUCUUCUACUUCAGCCAAUUUCGUACACAUACGAUGCAUUGCAAAGAAAGGAGAAUAUGAAUUUCACUUCAGGAUGCAGCUUCCUUGGUCCCUGUUUUUUGCACAUGAUCAGUUGAUCUUCUUUGAUGUAUCUUGGGUAACAGAGUUGUGGCUGGUGGUACUGUGGAGCGCUUCUAGAAGAUUUACGUGUAGCACCUGCUUCACUUGCUUCUGAGAAAGUCUUUGUUGCUAGAUGUCCACUCUCUCCCCCUGGAGCCGGCCAGAAUGGUGACAACCAGAGAGCCUGGGAAACCUCAUGCUGAAGUCCGUGGAGCUGCUGUCAGGCUGGCUCUGCCACUACCUGCAACUCUUUAGUUUAGCAGCCUAGUGUAAUGAGGUCAUAUGACAUUUUCUGUUUUCUUCCAAAAGUUUUCAAGUUUUCCUUUUCACAUCUAGAUUUUAAAUCUGCUUGGCCUUGGCUGUUAUGAUGGCCAUAAAUUAUAGAGUCUUUUUUCAAAUGAAUAAACAACUAUCCUGUUACCCA
This 564-nucleotide long non-coding RNA is filed under the name Vulpes vulpes (red fox). Its description in RNAcentral is "lncRNA (ENSVVUG00000015528.1)". Lineage: Eukaryota; Metazoa; Chordata; Mammalia; Carnivora; Canidae. The record is from RNAcentral.